GAGAACGUGAUUUAUGAAAUGUAUUAAUGUAUUCUUUGGCUCUAAAAUUGCAUCUCCUUAUUCUCCAGUCACGAUAAAAUAAAAUAUUUGUGGAUGAGGAAAAAUAUACUCACGCAGGGUAAGCCAAAGAAAAGGAAUAACACAGAAACUUUAGUAGAAACCCAAGGAAAAACAGCUUUGUGAUGAAAGCAAACCUUAAAAGGGUACAUACAAAAAUAUACCAAACUGAUUUCAUAGAGAGGAUUUUCCUGGCAUGGUCACCACUUCCACAGGGAAUUAAAACACACACUGAUGGCAGAAUUUAUAUGGUUCAAAACAAUGACCUAUCUUUCUUUUUCACGAUUUGCUAAAGCUUGGUUCCCCUGUAUUGUCGCAGAUGGCAUUCAUAGAGAUUCCAAGCAAUAUGUAGAACAGACAGCUUAUGUUCACUGCUUCUUCUCUUCUGCCUUCCUAGGCUUGGUACCAGGAGCAGGCUGGUUGAGCUCUUCCUCUGGAAUAAUAACAGGCCACUUCUCUCCAGCUUCACGGAACAUUUGCUCCGUCUCGAGGUACUGACCCUUCUGCAAAAUCAUGUUCCUUAUGGUCUGAGCAGAAAUAGUAGUGCCAUCAAAAACCUCCUCGACUCCGUUGACAAAAGUGACAGUGAUUUGUGGCGGGUGAUCGUCGGUUCGGCGCUUGACCAAAACCUGGCAAGCGGGGUUCGAUUCCUUGGCCUUGCGGGCGUUGCAUUGGGCUAAGAACUCCAUGCAAGAGGCUGUACGAGGGUCUAGCGCAUUGAACUCAAUUCGUACCUUUGAUAGGAACUUCAGCAUCUUCUUGCUCUCCGGCCUCUGCUGCGCACCGAUUGUGUUCGGUUUUGCACAACUGAACCAGAGUGAGUAUCCAGCCUAGCCCUUGCAAGGCUUUUU
RNAcentral lists this unclassified non-coding RNA (908 nucleotides) under Hevea brasiliensis (rubber tree). Lineage: Eukaryota; Viridiplantae; Streptophyta; Magnoliopsida; Malpighiales; Euphorbiaceae. The record is from RNAcentral.